RNAcentral lists this transfer RNA (85 nucleotides) under Virgisporangium aurantiacum. RNAcentral describes it as "tRNA-Tyr". The record is from RNAcentral. Lineage: Bacteria; Bacillati; Actinomycetota; Actinomycetes; Micromonosporales; Micromonosporaceae.
GCGGGCGCGUCACCGUUGGAGAGGUGAGGUCGGCUGUAACCCGGCUGCUUCGGCUCAGGGGGUUCGAUUCCCUCCGCCCGCACCA